RNAcentral lists this ribosomal RNA (428 nucleotides) under uncultured archaeon. RNAcentral describes it as "bacterial SSU rRNA". It matches the Rfam family "Archaeal small subunit ribosomal RNA", at positions 474 to 903 of the family's 1478-position model. The record is from RNAcentral.
UACCUGCAGCUCGAGUGGUAACCGCUAUUAUUGGGCCUAAAGCGUCCGUAGCCGGUUUGGUAAAUAUCUGGGUAAAUCGUGAGGCUUAACUUCACGAAUUUCGGAUAGACUGCCAGACUUGGGAUCGGGGGUGGUCAGAGGUACUCCAGGGGUAGCGGUGAAAUGUUGUAAUCCUUGGAGGACCACCGGUAGCGAAGGCGUCUGACUAGAACGAGUCCGACGGUGAGGGACGAAGCCCUGGGGCGCAAACCGGAUUAGAUACCCGGGUAGUCCAGGGUGUAAACAAUGUGGGCUUUGUAUUGGAGAUCCCACGUGGGUGUCCAGUGCAGAAGAGAAGUUGUUAAGCCCACCGCCUGGGAAGUACGGUCGCAAGGCUGAAACUUAAAGGAAUUGGCGGGGAGCACAGCAACGGGAGGAGCGUGCGGUUU